This 482-nucleotide ribosomal RNA is filed under the name uncultured bacterium. Its description in RNAcentral is "bacterial SSU rRNA". It matches the Rfam family "Bacterial small subunit ribosomal RNA", at positions 26 to 507 of the family's 1533-position model. The record is from RNAcentral.
AGGACGAACGCUGGCGGCGUGCUUAACACAUGCAAGUCGAGCGGGGAUUGAUUGCGGAAGGUUUCGGCUGGAAAGCGAUUAAUUCUAGCGGCGGACGGGUGAGUAACGCGUGAGCAAUCUGUCCCAGACAGGGGGAUAACACAUAGAAAUGUGUGCUAAUACCGCAUAACGUAUCGGAACCGCAUGGCUCUGAUACCAAAGAUUAUAUCGCUGAAAGAUGGGCUCGCGUACGAUUAGAUAGUUGGUGAGGUAACGGCUCACCAAGUCGACGAUCGUUAGCCGAACUGAGAGGUUGAUCGGCCACAUUGGGACUGAGACACGGCCCAGACUCCUACGGGAGGCAGCAGUGGGGGAUAUUGCGCAAUGGGGGCAACCCUGACGCAGCAACGCCGCGUGAAGGAAGAAGGUUUUCGGAUCGUAAACUUCUUUAAGUGGGGAAGAUAGUGACGGUACCCACAGAAUAAGCCACGGCUAACUACGUG